Molecule: ribosomal RNA, 784 nt
Filed under: uncultured bacterium
Lineage: Bacteria
Description: SSU rRNA
Rfam family: Bacterial small subunit ribosomal RNA
Source: RNAcentral
CACAGUGUAGCAAUACAUGGGUGGCGACCGGCAAACGGGUGCGGAACACGUACGCAACCUUCCUUCAGGCGGGGAAUAGCCCAGAGAAAUUUGGAUUAAUACCCCAUAAUAUUUUGAGAUGGCAUCAUCUUAUUAUUAAAGCUACGGCACCUGGAGAUGAGCGUGCGGCUGAUUAGGUAGUUGGCGGGGUAAUGGCCCACCAAGCCUACGAUCAGUAGCUGAUGUGAGAGCAUGAUCAGCCACACGGGCACUGAGACACGGGCCCGACUCCUACGGGAGGCAGCAGUAAGGAAUAUUGGUCAAUGGACGCAAGUCUGAACCAGCCAUGCCGCGUGGAGGAUGAAGGUCCUCUGGAUUGUAAACUUCUUUUAUCUGGGACGAAAAAAGGGUUUUCUAACUCGUCUGACGGUACCAGAUGAAUAAGCACCGGCUAACUCCGUGCCAGCAGCCGCGGUAAUACGGAGGGUGCAAGCGUUAUCCGGAUUCACUGGGUUUAAAGGGUGCGUAGGCGGGCAUUUAAGUCAGUGGUGAAAUACCUGAGCUCAACUUGGGAACUGCCAUUGAUACUAUUUGUCUUGAAUGUCGUGGAGGUUAGCGGAAUAUGUCAUGUAGCGGUGAAAUGCUUAGAUAUGACAUAGAACACCUAUUGCGAAGGCAGCUAACUACGCGAAUAUUGACGCUGAGGCACGAAAGCGUGGGGAUCAAACAGGAUUAGAUACCCUGGUAGUCCACGCCCUAAACGAUGAUUACUCGACAUUAGCGAUACACUGUUAGUGUCUGAGCG